UACGGAGGGGCUAGCGUUGUUCGGAAUUACUGGGCGUAAAGCGUGCGCAGGCGGUUAUGUAAGACAGAUGUGAAAUCCCCGGGCUCAACCUGGGAACUGCAUUUGUGACUGCAUAGCUAGAGUACGGUAGAGGGGGAUGGAAUUCCGCGUGUAGCAGUGAAAUGCGUAGAGUAUGCGGAGGGAACACCCGAUGGCGAAGGCAGCCCCUGGGCUAACACUGACGCUCGAUGCACGAAAGCGUGGGAGCAAACAGG
This 254-nucleotide ribosomal RNA is filed under the name uncultured bacterium. RNAcentral describes it as "partial 16S ribosomal RNA". It matches the Rfam family "Bacterial small subunit ribosomal RNA", at positions 524 to 776 of the family's 1533-position model. The record is from RNAcentral.